RNAcentral lists this ribosomal RNA (497 nucleotides) under uncultured bacterium. Its description in RNAcentral is "partial 16S ribosomal RNA". It matches the Rfam family "Bacterial small subunit ribosomal RNA", at positions 28 to 507 of the family's 1533-position model. The record is from RNAcentral.
GAUGAACGAUGGCGGCGUGCCUAAUACAUGCAAGUCGAGCGAACAGAUGAGGAGCUUGCUCCUCUGACGUUAGCGGCGGACGGGUGAGUAACACGUGGAUAACCUACCUAUAAGACUGGGAUAACUUCGGGAAACCGGAGCUAAUACCGGAUAAUAUAUUGAACCGCAUGGUUCAAUAGUGAAAGACGGUUUUGCUGUCACUUAUAGAUGGAUCCGCGCCGCAUUAGCUAGUUGGUAAGGUAACGGCUUACCAAGGCGACGAUGCGUAGCCGACCUGAGAGGGUGAUCGGCCACACUGGAACUGAGACACGGUCCAGACUCCUACGGGAGGCAGCAGUAGGGAAUCUUCCGCAAAGGGCGAAAGCCUGACGGAGCAACGCCGCGUGAGUGAUGAAGGUCUUCGGAUCGUAAAACUCUGUUAUUAGGGAAGAACAAAUGUGUAAGUAACUAUGCACGUCUUGACGGUACCUAAUCAGAAAGCCACGGCUAACUACGUG